CACUUAUGGUAUAUGGAAGUUUCCAAUCCAGGGAUCAAAUCUGCAGCUGUAAUCUACACCUUAACUCACUGAACCCAGCCAAAGAUUGGACCUGUGCCUCAGUAGCUGCCCCAGAUCCUUAACCCACUGUGUCACAGUGGGAACUCCUACUCCCAGAAUUCCUGUGAGAAUCAAAUGAGAUAAUGAGAAUAUAAUUAUUACAUUUCUAUAUAGACUGUAUUGUGAUGCUUUCUGCUUAAAGUGUGGUCCUCAGAAAAGCAGUGUCAGCAUCAUUCAGAAGCUUGUUAGAAAUGCAGAAUCUCAGCCUCCACUCCACACUUACUGAAUCAGAAUCUCAUUUUAACAUGAUCAUUAGGUAAUUUCAAAUACACAUUAAAGUUUGAGAAGUAAAGACUAUACAAUUGUAAAAAAUUUUAGUUCUCCAAACCCUUUUUUUAGAGAGCCCUUCCAGAGAAAGGAAAUAUAUCUUUAUUUCAGUUUAGGACCUAGAAUAUAAUCGACCUUUAAUUAGAGUUGAAUGAAUGAAUGAAUGAGUGCGUGAAUGAAUGAAUAUCUUGCUCUCAGCCACUACUUGGAACUCUUUACCUAAUAUUUCCUCUGCUGUAAUAGCAGGGCAUGUCCAAGGUGAUUGCAGCUGCCUCACAGCCAGCUGAUGCCAACCACAGAUGCAGGCAUUUAGUAUGUGAUUAAGGACAGAGUGAUCCACUUAAUGUGAGUUGUGGGAGAUAUUUGGCAAGAACUAAGGGACAGAGGUUGGAUUUUAAAGAGUUUCCAAAGAUAAUGUCUUUCCCAAUUAUUUAAAAUCCUCAGUAACUUGGAUCACACCCACUCAGAAAUAAGCCUUCUAAAGACAGAGUUCUCUAAAUAGGAUUCUUGUUCACUUUGGCAGCAGAAUCCUGACUCAAGGUCUUUUCAGGUGUUUAUGUAACAUGGCAGGAGGGGUCAUCCACGAGGGAGAAAUGCUUCUUUGCUUACUAGAUUUUACCACCCAUUAAAUUAAUUAAAGAAUUAAUCUAUCCCAUCUUCCAACAAACACAACAGUGCUCAGCUUAGGGUUGCCAUAGUGUGCAGACUAGCAACGCCUUUUUCUGUCCAGUAGUUGCCAGGUAUGAGGAUGGAUUAUGCAUCAAGCACUCACAGUGGGGUUUGAGGAAAUACAAACUGAUACGGGAGAGUGAGGCAGGCCAUCUUAGCCUAGUAAAGGUAGAGGUGACGGAGAGACACUUCCUGCAGGAAGUGACCUUUCGGUGACACCUGGAGGAUGAGUAGGAAUUAAGCAAUUGGGGCAGGAAGGAGGAAAGGUAGCUGGUACACAGUAUAGUGUGAGUCAAGGCCUAGAAGCAAGAGAGAAUUUGCUCCAGUAAAGGAGGUUUGGAGAGCUGUGUUGACUGUGUGUGAGAUGCGCAGGGGUAUAAAUGCGGGAUGUGGAGUGUGAGAAGACCUGAAGUUGAAGACUUAUCCAGUUUGGGACCUCCCAGGGUCUUGAGAAUCCUAAGCAAUUUGCAUUUUAUCCUCAGAUCAAUGGAGGAAGUCUUUGGAAGUGCUAGUGGGUCUGAUGGAGUUAGCAGUUCUUUCUAAUGGACCAGUGAGCCCUUCAUUAAUAUGACAAGGGGAAGAGACUUGUCUCUGGUCUGCAUGCCCUACCCUGCCCUGGGUCUCUUAGUUUGAGCUGGGUGUCUGCUUCUUGCUUGCAUCCCUUAAGGCUCACUGCAGGAUGGUCCUAAGUAUUGCCUUAUGCCCUCUUCAAAGAAGAGUAUUCUUCCACCAAGACUUCAUCAGUUGAACUCUCCUGGUCACUUUGCUUCCAGUCUGUCUAAUGUAACACUCUCUGAGAUCCCCUUUUCUGGGUUCUCCCUGCCUACAGGGGCAAGUUAGACACUGGAAGCUUUGAGGCUGAGCUACGAGCAGUUGCCCUCCUCCACGCAGCACCAACAGCAUCACCAUACCUACUCUCAGAGUUUCGGUAAGUCAGGUCAUUUUUGCACAAUGAUUUUAUACCCAUUAGCAACUGGCUUCCUUUAUGUAUGCCCCUGUUGCCUAGGCUAUUAACUGUGAGCUGUCACUAUUGGAAGGUUUUGAGAGACAAGUUGGCCAGAACACAGGAUUGAGGGUUGAAAGAGCUGGCCUGAAUUUUUCCCCUUCCUGCUACCCUUAUUUUGUGACCUUGGGUGAGUCCCUUGAAUCUCAGUUUCUGCAGCUGUAAACAGGGAAAAACAAGAGCGCCUGCCCUGUCUCUUCUCAGGGCAGUGGUGAGAUCAAACCAGUUGUGCACACAGCAUUUGGCAGUGGAGCUGCUCAUUUGCCCUAGGUGUGUGGAUAGGUGCUUUGUAAAGCUCUAGGAAGAUUUCAUUGGUUCUCUGGACAUCGCUGGCUUAGUUCCCGGCCACACCACCCCUUUCUCACACAGCUGAAGGUAGAUAGGACCCAUGAGUUGUGCAUUUCUCACCUUCUGCAACUAAUUGCUGCCUUCCUGUCUGAGGCUUUCGAAUUAGGUUUCAUUUAUCAGGACUCCUGCACUCAAUCACUUAAUGGACAAUCUAAUUGGAAAUCAUUUGUCCAAAUGUAAACAUUAUUUUAAUUCAUAAUUGUGGAGUCCAAAUAAUUUUGGUGACAUGACCCACUUUGAAACACUCUUUCUGAUGGGCCGUAACUAUGGCACGCACACCCAGUUUUCUCUCCUGGUAUGUAAUUAUCUCCUUAAGCUUCUUGCUGGAAGUUUCUGAAAUGUUUAUGAACCAACAUUAAUUUCCAGUUCAUUACAGAGUUCCUGUUUUCCUCUAAAUUUUUUUUCAGGGAAUCUUUAAAAAUAAAUAGAUUGAUAGAUAAAUGGGUAGAUAAAAGAAAAGAGCAAAUGAUUAUCCCUCCUCAAAUAAUUGCCUUCCAAAAUUCAAAACACUGACAUUGUAGCACAAAAGGGAGAUUAAAGGGUUGAAACAGAGUGAUGGAAAUGGAAUUUAAAGAUUUAAAAAAACAAAAAAACUCCUGUAUAUGUGGAAUAUAAACUAUGACACAAAUGAACCUAUCUACAAAACAGAAACAGACCCAUGGAAGUAGAGAACGGACUUGUGGUUGCCAAGGGGGAGAGGGGAGGGAUGGGAUGAACAGGGAGUUUGGGGUUGGUGGAUGCAAACUAUUCCAUUUAGAAUGGAUAAGCAAUGAGGUCCUAUUGUACAGCACAGGGAACUAUAUCCAGUCUCUUGGGAUAGACCAUGAUGGAAGAUAAUAUAAGAAAAAUAAUGUAUGUGUGUUUGUAUAUAUAUAUAUAUAAUAUGAAUAUAUGACUGGGUCACUCUGCUGUACAGCAGAAAUUGACUCAACACUGUAAAUCAACUAUACUGUAAUAAAAAUAAAACUAAACAAAAACAAAACAAACAAAAAACUCUUGGCAUCUUAUCCUUGCAAGGGCUCCUUAUCAUCUUCUCUUCUCAUCAGUAUAUGUGGUGGGAAUUCCUCUGCUAGAGACAUAGGACCAUAUUAGAAUGUCUAAGAGUUUACAUCCAGGUCAACUUAAAGACAGUAUAAAGGAUCCUUCUUAAAAUAUGGAGGCCUUACAGGUCAUGUCUUUCCUAAAAACCUCUUCAAGCCUCCCUCCCCAUCGCUGCAGGUGAUGCUUCUUUCUCUUUGCUUCCAAGUGGUACAUAUUUCCUUUCCCAUCACUUUCCAUUUAUUAUACUUUCUUAGUUUUCUUACCUGUAUCCCCAUAGUAGACCAAGAGUCCUCAAGUCAGGGACUAAGUCUCAUUACCUUGGCACAUUUAGUGACUAACUUCUAGACAGAAGUUGUUGACUCAUCAUGCAGGGUCACCACCUCAGAUACACUUCAGCCCUCAUCAGCGUGACUACAACAGCCUCCUAACUUGCUUCUCUGACUUUAGUUUACUCAAUGUCCAUACCAUCCUCCCCACUGGAGCCAGGGAAGUCCCUAAGAUAUGAGUUGGACCAGUUCUUCCCUUGCUUGGAACCAUCUGAUGAGUACUGCUCUCCCCUGGGUAAAUCCACACUCCUCCGUAUGGCUUCGGGGGCCUUUCAUCCCCUGGACCUGACUGGUCUGACCUGGUUUCCAGCUGCUCUGCCCUCAUGCCCAAAGAUCCAGCCAGCAGAAACCAGGCCCGUCCGUUCUUUAAUACACCCUGCCCUCUCACAUGGUGACAGUAGUCAAUAUUUAUUGAGCACUCACUAUGCGAAGUACUUUUUGAUCACUCAAUCUGCAUUUUAAUAACCCUCACAACUACCCAUGGGAUCGUUAUAAUAUCCCCCUUUUACAGAUGAGAAAAUUGAGACUUGGAAAGGAAACUUGCUCUAGGCAAGGCAGUUAAAAGACAGUUACAGGGUUACGACCAGGCCUGUGAGUCCGGGACCUGGGAUUUCUGUCUGCCAUGUCAUGCUGCAGAAGAUGUGGUUCUCACGCCGAAAGAACUUAAGCCCAAACUGAGAUGUGCUUUCUCUGGGUAAAGACAUGACUGUGUAACAGGAAUCUGCUAAAUACAGGAAUCUGCUAAAUACCAUACCUAAGGUAGAGCUCCAGGCUGGUAUGGGAAGCCAGAAACAGAAAUAGAACUUUCAGUUGCAGGGGUCCAAGAAGGCUUCACCAGACACAUGGAGGGUGAACUCAGUUACAGAGGAUAAAAAGAUUUGCACAAGCCGAGAGAAGAAGAAGGGCUACUCUGAGCAGGCUUCUCACCAGGAUGGGGCUGGCUGUGGGGAAGGCCCUGGGAAAGUCGGAGGGACCAGGAAAUGGGUCCCUUUGGCUGAAGCAGAGAAUCUGGGAAUAGGGCAGAGGGGUUGAGGAAAUUUGCAAAGGGCCAGGAAUUGGGAGCUGGGGGCAUCCAGGAGGCUCUGGAUUACAGGAGGCUCUGAGAAGCUUGGGUUACACCUGGUGGCUGGUCUGAGAGAGGCUGAACCCCUUCCAGUAAAGGGCUGGUCUGACUACAGUGUUGUCCAUGAAGAAAAAUACAAAAUUUAGGGUGGGGUCGAACAGGGGGAGGGAGCAAGUCUGGAAUGCCCAGGAAGGAAGCUUUUGCAACAGACCUGACAGGAGAUGAGAGUGGUGGCUGUGUAAUUGCAAAGGAAAGGACUGAUCCCACAGGCACUUCAAGCCAUCUUGCGCUAUAAUUUGCUUUUUAAUGACACUGCCGAUCUGCUGUUACUGACGUCUGGGGACCUCAGAGGCGCUUCCGAGUCACACCCUGGGUGGCCAGUGCUUGCCUGUGUGUUGCACUUAAAGAGCGCUCUUUAGGGUCAGCUUUCAGGCCAGGCCCUGCCCUGUGGGGCGGUGGGGGCAGCCUCUAGCAGCUCUUGCAGCUUCUUGGGCUUCUUUUCCAUGAUUGCUUCAGCUUAUCCGCUCAAACAGAGAUUUUAACAUAGAAACAAUUCUGGGUCAUUUGAAGCUCUGCUGCGUGCAGAGGACCGUGGGUAUUGGCCUCCAUCACCCGCUCAAUGAAAUACCCAAGCAAGGCCACAGCCAAUCACUGCUUCUGCCUGCGUCAAGCACUGUGCCUGUAUAUUGAAGACUGCACUUGAAAGCCAGGGGAGAGUCGGUUAUCUGAUGAGCACCCCGGCCAAAGUGAAUGUGAGUGAGUCAGUUUACGUAAAAGCACCUGACAGAGCCCUCUCCUUGGUGGUUCAGGCUCUACCUGCUCUUCAGGUUCUCAGCCUGCCCCAUGACGCUGAAUCAGUUCAAAACCUGCCAGAGGCCUCUGUGGCCUUUAGCCAGGAAGAAAAGGAACAAGAACCUCUGAUAACUCCAUGAAAGGGGACCUUCGUAGGAGCAGGAGGCAAACAUACAUUUGAACUUAACUGAAUCCAGUGGAAAUCAGUCUGGGAAAAUACAUUUUUUUAAAAAACAUUUGUUCGUUCUUUCAUGCCCUUGCUCAACAUUUUUAUCUGCAUUCACUCCCUAGGUGCGUUUACUUGGUUGUUGAACAGAGUUUGAGCUCCUCAUGGGGAGGGAGUGUGUCUGGUUUGUCCCCUGGGGCUGCUGCAGGCAGUGGUACACUGUGUCUCCAGCACAAGGACAUGUAGCUGAAGCAGCGGAAGCUGGAAAGUGCUGAUGUGUUUGUUUGUUUGGGGAAACAUUUAUUGGGCACUGAGUGUAUACUGGGUGUGGUGUUCCGUCCUAUCCCAGCAGACAAAGCUCAAUUGGGCAGAGCUCCCAUGUCCGCUAUUUAGGUAAGAGUAUGGUGAAGACAUGCGCACUUCCUCUGCCCUGGGGAGGUAGGGAAGUCUUCCAGGAAGGAACUUCUGGUUCAGUUUUUGAAAGUUCUUCAGGAGAAGAAGUGUGGGAACCUGU
Molecule: long non-coding RNA, 6288 nt
Filed under: Sus scrofa (pig)
Lineage: Eukaryota; Metazoa; Chordata; Mammalia; Artiodactyla; Suidae
Description: lncRNA (ENSSSCG00030049732.1)
Source: RNAcentral